UACAGAGGUCUCAAGCGUUGUUCGGAUUCAUUGGGCGUAAAGGGUGCGUAGGUGGCGCCGUAAGUCAGGUGUGAAAUUUCGGAGCUUAACUCCGAAACUGCAUUUGAUACUGCGGUGCUUGAGGACUGGAGAGGAGGCUGGAAUUCACGGUGUAGCAGUGAAAUGCGUAGAUAUCGUGAGGAAGACCAGUGGCGAAGGCGGGUCUCUGGACAGUUCCUGACACUGAGGCACGAAGGCCAGGGGAGCAAACGGG
RNAcentral lists this ribosomal RNA (253 nucleotides) under uncultured bacterium. RNAcentral's name for it is "partial 16S ribosomal RNA". It matches the Rfam family "Bacterial small subunit ribosomal RNA", at positions 524 to 776 of the family's 1533-position model. The record is from RNAcentral.